RNAcentral lists this transfer RNA (82 nucleotides) under Merluccius polli (Benguela hake). It matches the Rfam family "tRNA". Rfam says of the family: Transfer RNA (tRNA) molecules are approximately 80 nucleotides in length. Their secondary structure includes four short double-helical elements and three loops (D, anti-codon, and T loops). Lineage: Eukaryota; Metazoa; Chordata; Actinopteri; Gadiformes; Merlucciidae. The record is from Rfam by way of RNAcentral.
GUCAGGAUGUCCAGCCGUCUAAGGCGCUGCGUUCAGGUCGCAGUCUCCCCUGGAGGCGUGGGUUCGAAUCCCACUUCUGACA